This 2343-nucleotide unclassified non-coding RNA is filed under the name Hevea brasiliensis (rubber tree). The record is from RNAcentral. Lineage: Eukaryota; Viridiplantae; Streptophyta; Magnoliopsida; Malpighiales; Euphorbiaceae.
GGAGACUGAAAAUCCAUCAUGUAAGUCUAUUUAUCUGAACAGAACACGUAGAGUUUUUUGGAGUUGGAGCUGCAAUUUACUUUAUUCAGUCCUCUUCUCAUACAUUAGGGGAGCAGAGAUCAGUAGGUUCAUUUCAUUCUUUUGCUCAAGUGGCUCUCUUUUUUUCAAUAAUCUAUUACGUGGGUCUUGAUGUGCCAAUUGAGACUGCACAUUUUAAUAAUGUGUGGUUAUUUAGCUAGCUAAUACUAUAUGAACCAAGUUGUAGUUCAAUGUAAGUACAGGAGUUAAUGAAUUUUUUGUCUUAUUUACUUUUCUUUUUCGUUUCUCCUCAUAAAGAGUAUACUUUGGUAGCUUUUGACAUGCUGAGAUGCUAAUAGAUUCUUUUGACACAUGAUUUAACAUAAACAAGGCUUCUUAUAUUAUCUGAUUGAUGAUUUUCUUUAUGCUUAAUCAUUUUUCUUCCUGACUGCAAAAUUGCACCAAUAGCAUGAAGAAGUUUUCUGUAAUUUGCUGAUGCAGGAUUAAAAUUUUUAGUUUGAUUAUUUUGUUUUUAGUGUUCUAUAAUAGCACACUGUCAAUGUAAUCCAUAUACUCUUUGUUGGGUGUAACAUUCAAUCUUGACAUAAACUGCUUUAUUAUGUGCAGUUGUCAAUUGUCAGUUGAAAAUUUAUUUGCUGUUGGUUUUACUUAACUAAGGCAGUGUGCUAAUUACUAGGCCAUGGAUAUGCAGAUUAAUAUAACACCUUCAAUUAUGUACUCUAUUCAAUCUCUCACUUCAUAAUUUUUCCAUGUAGGAUAAUGUUGUUUUAUUUCUUCAUGGUUUUCUUGAAACUGGUGAAGACUGGAUGUCUAUCAAGAAGGCCAUCUCAGGAUCUGCAAGAUGCAUUUCAAUUGAUCUUCCUGGCCAAGGGGGAUCAAAGAUGCAAAACUGUGAAGCAAAGGAAGCAACUUUGUCAGUUGAAAUAGUUGCACAUAAAUUUUAUAAGGUGAUUCAAGGCAUAACUCCUGGAAAGAUUGUUGUUGUUGGAUAUUCAAUGGGGGCAAUGAUUGUGUUGUGGAUGGCAUUGAGGCAUGUUGAUAAGAUCAAUGCAGUCAUUCACAGGAAAACAUUAAUCCCGUUUGUGCAGAGUCCUCAACUGAUUUUCUUUGAGUCCCCCAACCUUGACGAGAGCUUGAAUGCACCGAACUCUAGCUGCCCUUUGCAGUGUGGCAAUGAUUUGUAUUUUUUUUGAUCCCUUGGCAUCUGCUACUGUCGAGAAAGAUUUGUUGGGAGAGUGUGUUACUUCUGCACAAUGCGAGCUGGGUUUCCUAGAACCAGUUAUUUCUACCUUUGGCCCCCAUGCCAAGCAUGCUCACUUUGAGCCCCUUAAUCUUUCAUCCCCAAGCCUUGUUCAUUUAACCAUGGUAGACCCUACUUGUGUUUCUGAGCCUUCUCCUAUUGGACCCUCAUUCAACGAAUUGGCUGUGGUACCAUAUAAGCCUAUUGAAGCUUCAUUGCUUUCAGCCCAAGAUAGGACUCCCAUCAACAUGCAUAGCUAUGUGAAAGUGGGUAGAUCACUUGAGCAAAGGAAAAUGAAGAACAAGCUAAUCUCAGAGCUUUUUGACUUCUCCCCAAAGCUCUCCUGAGUCGGCAAGAGGAAAGGAACCUUAAAAGGGAACAACUGAAAUAUUCAGAUGCAGUUGGAAGUCAAGUGGUUGAGCCAACAGAUAGUGAUAUCUGCUGCAUGAACUCUCCUCAUCGGAGCUUAAUUUCCAACCCCUUAGUGUCCCCUUGCAUCAUGGUAUCUUCUGACUAUCCACCUCUUCUUAACGCUGAGGAUGAAACUCAGAAAACUCUGGCGAUUGGCAAGGAGUUGGGACUAUCUUUCUCAAUCCCAGAUGAAAGAAGUUCAAAUCUUUCUAAAGCAAAUUCUUGAGGAGCAGGCUACUUUUAAUGGACUCGAUUGAUCUUCUGGGUUGUGUUUUGGUUGGGUUUAUGCUUUGUUGUUUUUUGUGCUUUUCGUUUCUUCUCUUAUUAGUAGAUGAUUUGGUUUUGUUGUUGAUUUGCAAUGUUCUGUUCUUGUACUUUUUGAUUGCUCCAGUUGGGAUUUUUUUUUGCCUUCUAAGUGUUUGUUCUUUUGUCUUAGUAAGUCUAACAGUAUCCAAAGUUUUUUUUUUUUUUUUUUGCCCGGAUUGGUGUUGUGAAGAACCCAUAUCAUUUGGGAGUGUGUGUACAGUAUUGGGUUAGCUUUUUUCAAUAUUAUCUGGUGUUUUAGCUAGGACGUGAGAAUGCUAUAAAGUUUAGUGCUCUUUCUUAUCAGCUCUAAAUCAUUUACACCAUGGAGCCGCUAUGACCAUAAACUA